This 1501-nucleotide ribosomal RNA is filed under the name uncultured bacterium. RNAcentral describes it as "partial 16S ribosomal RNA". It matches the Rfam family "Bacterial small subunit ribosomal RNA". The record is from RNAcentral.
UAGAGUUUGAUCAUGGCUCAGGAUGAACGCUAGCGACAGGCUUAACACAUGCAAGUCGAGGGGCAGCGGGGGUGAUGGCUUGCCAUCACCUGCCGGCGACCGGCGCACGGGUGAGUAACACGUAUGCAACCUGCCCGCCACAGGGGGAUAAGCGGAAGAAAUUCCGUCUAAUACCGCGUGACGCGGCGUCGGGGCAUCCCGGUGCCGCCAAAGGGAUUACCGGUGGCGGAUGGGCAUGCGGCGCAUUAGCUAGUCGGCGGGGUAACGGCCCACCGAGGCGACGAUGCGUAGGGGUUCUGAGAGGAAGGUCCCCCACACUGGUACUGAGACACGGACCAGACUCCUACGGGAGGCAGCAGUGAGGAAUAUUGGUCAAUGGGCGGGAGCCUGAACCAGCCAAGUCGCGUGAGGGAUGACGGUCCUACGGAUUGUAAACCUCUUUUGCCGGGGAGCAAGCGUGCGUUCGUGAACGCGCGUCGAGAGUACCCGGAGAAAAAGCAUCGGCUAACUCCGUGCCAGCAGCCGCGGUAAUACGGAGGAUGCGAGCGUUAUCCGGAUUUAUUGGGUUUAAAGGGUGCGUAGGCGGGAUGCCAAGUCAGCGGUAAAAAUGCGGUGCUCAACGCCGUCGAGCCGUUGAAACUGGCGUUCUUGAGUGGGCGAGAAGUAUGCGGAAUGCGUGGUGUAGCGGUGAAAUGCAUAGAUAUCACGCAGAACUCCGAUUGCGAAGGCAGCAUACCGGCGCCCUACUGACGCUGAGGCACGAAAGCGUGGGUAUCGAACAGGAUUAGAUACCCUGGUAGUCCACGCAGUAAACGAUGAAUGCUAACUGUCCGGUGCGAGUGAGCGCUGGGCGGUACAGCGAAAGCGUUAAGCAUUCCACCUGGGGAGUACGCCGGCAACGGUGAAACUCAAAGGAAUUGACGGGGGCCCGCACAAGCGGAGGAACAUGUGGUUUAAUUCGAUGAUACGCGAGGAACCUUACCCGGGCUCAAACGCAGGAUGACGGGUCCCGAAAGGGGCCUUUCUUCGGACAUUCUGCGAGGUGCUGCAUGGUUGUCGUCAGCUCGUGCCGUGAGGUGUCGGCUUAAGUGCCAUAACGAGCGCAACCCCUGUCCACAGUUGCCAGCAGGUAAAGCUGGGGACUCUGUGGAGACUGCCGGCGCAAGCUGCGAGGAAGGCGGGGAUGACGUCAAAUCAGCACGGCCCUUACGUCCGGGGCGACACACGUGUUACAAUGGCAGGUACAGCGGGAUGCCACGGGGCGACCCGGCGCUGAACCCGAAAACCUGUCUCAGUUCGGAUUGGAGUCUGCAACCCGACUCCAUGAAGCUGGAUUCGCUAGUAAUCGCGCAUCAGCCACGGCGCGGUGAAUACGUUCCCGGGCCUUGUACACACCGCCCGUCAAGCCAUGGAAGCCGGGGGUACCUGAAGUGCGUGACCGCGAGGAGCGCCCUAGGGUAAAACCGGUGACUGGGGCUAAGUCGUAACAAGGUAACCGUAA